Long non-coding RNA from Suricata suricatta (meerkat), 639 nucleotides. RefSeq lists it as uncharacterized. NCBI's taxonomy places the organism in Eukaryota, Metazoa, Chordata, Mammalia, Carnivora, Herpestidae. The transcript is spliced from 2 exons. The record is from RefSeq and is a predicted model, not a curated record.
CGAUCUGUCACAACUUCGGGGGACGGAGUGAGAGUGGGGGACAGGGUCCUCCUUUGGGGAGUCCCUGCGUUCGGAGCAGGCAGUGGGCCCAGUCCGAGCCAGAUGCAUUGCGAUCCCCUGGGGAGCGUGUGCAAGGCAGGACUCCCAGGAGAGCAAGGGAGGCCCCUGGAGAUCUCGAUGCUGUGAAGUCCGCCGACCCAGUGGAAUCCUUCUGGAUCCGUAGGUCAUGCCGAGCGCUGCUCUAGGCACGGGAAUAGCGCAAUAAACACGGCCCGGCCCUGCGCCCCUGGCACUUACUGCAGAGGGAGGCUUGCUGCGCCCCAUCUGGUUUGAGCUACGGACCCUUCGGCUGUGUGGCGCCGCCUGUGGCGGCAAUGCUUUUAAAUAAAUACUGAAAAUACGUCGCAUUGUGAAGGCAGUGAAUUACGCGGAGAUGUAGUUAUCAGAACCCAUGAAACAGGAACAUACGCGCUUCUUUAUUACAAGCUCAGUAACAAGAUCAAGCGGCUGGUCUGAUAGCGACUGCAAUUUUGCAGAAAGGCUGGGUAUAACUGACACUUGGGAACGUCUGCUGUGACUGUAAUAUAAGAUGAAAAUAUCUGUAAUUUCUACUGGGCAUAAAGUCGCAGGAACCGCUAA